UCGGGAAUUUUGGGCAAUGGGGGAAACCCUGACCCAGCAACGCCGCGUGAAGGAUGAAGUAUUUCGGUAUGUAAACUUCGAAAGAAUAGGAAGAAUAAAUGACGGUACUAUUUAUAAGGUCCGGCUAACUACGUGCCAGCAGCCGCGGUAAUACGUAGGGACCAAGCGUUGUUCGGAUUUACUGGGCGUAAAGGGCGCGUAGGCGGCAUGACAAGUCACUUGUGAAAUCUCUGGGCUUAACCCAGAACGGCCAAGUGAUACUGUCGCGCUAGAGUGCAGAAGGGGCAAUCGGAAUUCUUGGUGUAGCGGUGAAAUGCGUAGAUAUCAAGAGGAACACCUGAGGUGAAGACGGGUUGCUGGGCUGACACUGACGCUGAGGCGCGAAAGCCAGGGGAGCAAACGGGAUUAGAUACCCCAGUAGUCCCUGAGCGGGCUGGCAAGGCGCAU
This 447-nucleotide ribosomal RNA is filed under the name uncultured bacterium. RNAcentral describes it as "bacterial SSU rRNA". It matches the Rfam family "Bacterial small subunit ribosomal RNA", at positions 355 to 825 of the family's 1533-position model. The record is from RNAcentral.